This is a long non-coding RNA of Neltuma alba, 423 nucleotides long. RefSeq lists it as uncharacterized. Lineage: Eukaryota; Viridiplantae; Streptophyta; Magnoliopsida; Fabales; Fabaceae. The record is from RefSeq and is a predicted model, not a curated record. The transcript has 4 exons.
UGGCACCAGACGUAGAAUCGACCGCGUAGAAGGUUCCAGCAGCUCAGGAAGCUUAAACAGUCAAGCCACCUUAAGGAAAUGGCGUGUAAUCUCUCUCUCAGUUCUCUUUCUCACUGGAAGUGAUAUCGACUUAUACUGAGCAUUCCCGAUAAGCUUGAUUUCGUUCAGAUCAUUCGCGGAAAAUGGUAUCACGAGCGGUUCAAAACUCCAAAAUUCUUAUCCUUGUCCCAGCUAUUUUGUUUUUCCUUUGCUACUUUUUAGGUUGGUCUGGCUCUGUUGUGCGGAGGAACCAAAGGUCUUCUGAUCUCAUUGCACAACUUCUGGCAUUGCUCAAGGAUUGUAAUGAAGCUGAGUUUUUACCCGGUCGAUGUGACACUGCAGCCAUUGCCGCUCUGAUUCGACAACUAGCUCAAGAUAUUAGGG